Molecule: ribosomal RNA, 405 nt
Filed under: uncultured bacterium
Lineage: Bacteria
Description: bacterial SSU rRNA
Rfam family: Bacterial small subunit ribosomal RNA
Source: RNAcentral
UGGGGGAUAUUGCACAAUGGGGGGAACCCUGAUGCAGCGACGCCGCGUGAGUGAAGGAAUAUUUCGGUAUGUAAAGCUCUGUCAGCAGGGACGAGGAAGGACGGUACCUGCAGAAGAAGCCCCGGCUAACUACGUGCCAGCAGCCGCGGUAAUACGUAGGGGGCAAGCGUUAUCCGGAUUUACUGGGUGUAAAGGGAGCGUAGACGGCAGGCCAAGCCAGGAGUGAAAGGCCAGGGCUCAACCCUGGGACUGCUUUUGGAACUGGCCGGCUGGAGUACAGGAGAGGUAAGCGGAAUUCCUAGUGUAGCGGUGAAAUGCGUAGAUAUUAGGAGGAACACCAGUGGCGAAGGCGGCUUACUGGACUGAGACUGACGUUGAGGCUCGAAAGCGUGGGGAGCAAACAGG